Scylla paramamosain (green mud crab) is the source of this 544-nucleotide long non-coding RNA. RefSeq lists it as uncharacterized. The record is from RefSeq and is a predicted model, not a curated record. NCBI's taxonomy places the organism in Eukaryota, Metazoa, Arthropoda, Malacostraca, Decapoda, Portunidae. The transcript is spliced from 3 exons.
GCGCCGCUGACGUUGUUGUGCCGCCUUCCUGCUAACGGCUGGGUUCAUCAUGCUCUAAAUAAAUUUUCCACCUACCUUUAAUAAUCUGUUGGAGGUAACUUGUGGAAAGAGAAAAAAAGUGCAUUAUUUUUAUGCAAUAAUAUUUUUAAUUUUUGAACUUGAAAAUGCAAUAUACUUUAAUCCAGAGAUUUAAAAAGUGAACAUACGUUUUAACCCAGCGGGUGCUGUAAACAGUACGUUGGCGGUUCACACCAGUUCAGAAAUUACCAAGGCAUCCAGUCUCCCAGCAAGUGCCAAGAGGCAUUCAUUCAAUGCUCCGCUGACACCAAUUUGCCCAAAGAAUAUUUAUGUGGGAGACUCCUCAGAUUGUGGAGACCCCAGAUUGUGGAGGCUCCUGGGCAGCUGGUCUUUUUGUGGACUCCUAAAUCUGGCACUGAACAAAAUUCUCUCUCUCUCUCUCUCUCUCUCUCUCUCUCUCUCUCUCUCUCUCUCUCUCUCUCUCUCUCUCUCUCUCUCUCUCUCUCUCUCUCUCUCUCUCUCUCUC